Molecule: small RNA, 598 nt
Filed under: Pongo abelii (Sumatran orangutan)
Lineage: Eukaryota; Metazoa; Chordata; Mammalia; Primates; Hominidae
Description: processed transcript
Source: RNAcentral
GUAGAAAUGUACAGAAUAUGGGGAAACUCUCAUUGCUCUCAUCUCCAUUCAAAGACACAUGUCAGUGCACACUGGAGAUGGAUGAUAUGAAUCAAAGAAUACACACUGGAUGGAAACGUUAGUAGUUUGGAAAAUACAGGAAACUUCAAUUUUAACAACAAUUAAAAUUCACAUAGGAAUGAGCCACCGCGCCCGGCCCAUGAGUCUUUAUUAAUAGAGAUUUCUUGCUGGUGUUAUGUGGCAGAUUCUGCAUAUUCCUCACCCAUCAUAUGUAUUCCACUUUCCUUUAUUAUGGGGAAAACUACUUUUUUUUAUGGGGAAAACUACUCUUUUUGGCAUGAUACAAUGUUUACUCCAUUUUCUUUGCUAAUAAGGACUUGGUAUCAAUUUAUCAGUAUGUAAAGUUUACCAUAGAGUAUUGUCUCAUGUGAAUCAUUCCCAUUUUUUGCCCUUUACUCUUUGUCAUUAUUUGAGUAUUAUUUGGAUGGUUCAUUUUGACUUAAGGACAGCCCUGUGAUACGACAAUAUUUUUAUCUAAUCUGAUGGAGAAAGCAUUUAGUCUCCUGAUCAAGUAUGGUAUUAGCUGCAGGUUUUUAAU